UGGGGAAUAUUGCACAAUGGGCGCAACCCUGAUGCAGCAACGCCGCGUGAACGAUGAAGGUCUUCGGAUCGUAAAGUUCUGUUGCAGGGGAAGAUAAUGACGGUACCCUGUGAGGAAGCCCCGGCUAACUACGUGCCAGCAGCCGCGGUAAUACGUAGGGGGCUAGCGUUAUCCGGAUUUACUGGGCGUAAAGGGUGCGUAGGUGGUCUUUCAAGUCGGUGGUUAAAGGCUACGGCUCAACCGUAGUUAGCCUCCGAAACUGGAAGACUUGAGUGCAGGAGAGGAAAGUGGAAUUCCCAGUGUAGCGGUGAAAUGCGUAGAUAUUGGGAGGAACACCAGUAGCGAAGGCGGCUUUCUGGACUGCAACUGACACUGAGGCACGAAAGCGUGGGUAGCAAACAGG
This 403-nucleotide ribosomal RNA is filed under the name Verrucomicrobiota bacterium. RNAcentral describes it as "Verrucomicrobia bacterium partial 16S ribosomal RNA". It matches the Rfam family "Bacterial small subunit ribosomal RNA", at positions 355 to 776 of the family's 1533-position model. The record is from RNAcentral. Lineage: Bacteria; Pseudomonadati; Verrucomicrobiota.